Molecule: ribosomal RNA, 426 nt
Filed under: uncultured bacterium
Lineage: Bacteria
Description: partial 16S ribosomal RNA
Rfam family: Bacterial small subunit ribosomal RNA
Source: RNAcentral
GUGGGGGAUAUUGCACAAUGGGGGAAACCCUGAUGCAGCAACGCCGCGUGAAGGAAGAAGGUCUUCGGAUUGUAAACUUUUGUCUUGCGGGACGAAUAAUGACGGUACCGCAGGAGGAAGCCACGGCUAACUACGUGCCAGCAGCCGCGGUAAUACGUAGGUGGCGAGCGUUGUCCGGAAUUACUGGGUGUAAAGGGUGCGUAGGCGGAUUUGUAAGUCAGGUGUGAAAACUAUCGGCUUAACCGGUAGCCUGCACUUGAAACUGUAAGUCUUGAGUGGUGAAGAGGUAAGCGGAAUUCCUAGUGUAGCGGUGAAAUGCGUAGAUAUUAGGAGGAACACCAGUGGCGAAGGUGGCUUACUGGGCACUAACUGACGCUGAGGCACGAAAGCAUGGGGAGCAAACAGGAUUAGAAACCCGGGUAGUCC